GGUCAUUCUUGACCUUUGACUAAGAUCAAGUGAGCAGUGUUCCUUAUCAGUUUAGUAUCUGAUACUGUUCUCAUCAGGACAUAACAAUGAAAGGAUUUUUGGAACAGAGCUUGCCUCUUGUCCACCCACCAUCUAUCUGGUUAUGCAGUACUCCAGAAAUGGUGCACCCCUC
RNAcentral lists this small nuclear RNA (172 nucleotides) under Castor canadensis (American beaver). RNAcentral's name for it is "U2 spliceosomal RNA (ENSCCNG00000017637.1)". It matches the Rfam family "U2 spliceosomal RNA". From Rfam's summary of the family: U2 is a small nuclear RNA (snRNA) component of the spliceosome (involved in pre-mRNA splicing). The record is from Rfam by way of RNAcentral. Lineage: Eukaryota; Metazoa; Chordata; Mammalia; Rodentia; Castoridae.